CAGGUAGACUUGAUGUUUGCUAAUAUGGUUAUCCAGCCCUAAGUAGCAGAAUUAAAGAUUUCUCUAUUAGACACAGAGGAGAAACAAAAGGUUCUUUUGGAAGCUCGCAAAAAUGUGCCAGGGGACCACGGGCGCCCCACCCAACUCACAAAUUUGAUUAACGAAGCUUUUCCUUUAACCCGGCCAAACUGGGACUAUGCGACUGAAGCAGACUCAUUUGCAUGCUUUGCAAUUGGUCCAGAACGAGGUCUGGAAGCCUCUAGCCGCAGCAUACAAAGAAAAACUUAAAACCCCCUUGCUGCCACAUCCCUUCAAGGUCGGAGAUACCGUCUGGGUAUGCAGGCACCAGAGCAGGAACCUCGAACCGCGGUGGAAAGGACCCUACACUAUCCUGCUGACCACUCCUACUGCACUCAAAGUGGACGGCAUCGCUGCUUAGAUCCA
Molecule: long non-coding RNA, 444 nt
Filed under: Marmota monax (woodchuck)
Lineage: Eukaryota; Metazoa; Chordata; Mammalia; Rodentia; Sciuridae
Source: RNAcentral